RNAcentral lists this ribosomal RNA (270 nucleotides) under Coscinodiscus wailesii. RNAcentral describes it as "partial Eukaryotic small subunit ribosomal RNA". The record is from RNAcentral. Lineage: Eukaryota; Bacillariophyta; Coscinodiscophyceae; Coscinodiscales; Coscinodiscaceae.
UGCCAGCACCAGGGGUUAUGCCAGCUCCGGUUGCUUUUCCAGAUGCUGAUGCUGAUGUUGAUGCUCGGACUGAUUCAAAGCUUGAUAGCACUAAGGGUUCUGAGACAAAUUUUGAUAUUAGCCUUUAUGAGAGAAAACUGCGUGAUUCUUAUCCUCAAUCAUCGCCUUUUUCUGUUAAUUCAGCACAGGCGGAUGCCUUUGGACAAAAUUCAACACUCGAUUUUUCAUUUAUGUCUGACUUCAGCUACCACUUUUCCAAGCUUAACAAUG